This 433-nucleotide ribosomal RNA is filed under the name uncultured bacterium. Its description in RNAcentral is "partial 16S ribosomal RNA". It matches the Rfam family "Bacterial small subunit ribosomal RNA", at positions 29 to 507 of the family's 1533-position model. The record is from RNAcentral.
AACGAACGCUGGCGGCGUGCCUAACACAUGCAAGUCGAGCGAGGACUCCGGUCCUAGCGGCGGACGGGGGAAUAACGGGUGGGAACGUGCCCUUUGCGUCGGCAUAUCUCUGGGAAACUGGGAAAAAUAGCGGAAGAGCCCUUUGGGGGAAAGGUUUAUCGGGGUAGGAUCGGACCGCGUUGGAUUAGGUAGUUGGUGGGGGAAUGGCCUACCCAGGCGACGAUACAUAGCUGGUUUGAGAGGAUGAUCAGCCACACUGGGACGGAGACACGGCCCCGACUCCUACGGGAGGGAGCAGAGGGGAAUCCUAGACAAUGGGGGAAGCCCUGAUCGAGCCCUGCCGGGGAAGCGAUGAUGGCCGUAGGGAUGUAAAGCUCUUUCAGCUGGGAAGAUAAUGACGGUACCUGCAGAAGAAGCCCCGGCUAACUCCGUG